GUGCCCGCUUUGGCAGCACAAAUACUAAAACUGGAAUGAUACAGAUGAGAUUAGCUCGGCCCCUGAGCAAGGGUGGCACGCAAAACAAGGAACUAGAGAGACGACCUU
Small nuclear RNA from Rattus norvegicus (Norway rat), 108 nucleotides. Lineage: Eukaryota; Metazoa; Chordata; Mammalia; Rodentia; Muridae. The record is from Ensembl.